RNAcentral lists this ribosomal RNA (330 nucleotides) under uncultured Lachnospiraceae bacterium. Its description in RNAcentral is "partial 16S ribosomal RNA". Lineage: Bacteria; Bacillati; Bacillota; Clostridia; Lachnospirales; Lachnospiraceae. The record is from RNAcentral.
GGAGUUUGGGCCGUGUCUCAGUCCCAAUGUGGCCGGUCAUCCUCUCAGAUCGGCUACCAAUCGUCGCCUUGGUGGGCCGUUACCUCACCAACUAGCUAAUUGGACGCGGGUCCAUCCUGUACCACCGGAGUUUUUACCCCUGCACCAUGCGGUGCUGUGGUCUUAUGCGGUAUUAACAGUCGUUUCCAACUGUUGUCCCCCUGUACAAGGUAGGUUACCCACGCGUUACUCACCCGUCCGCCACUCAGUCAACAAAUCGUCACCCCGAAGGAAUCGUGAUAAGUUGCUUCGUUCGACUUGCAUGUGUUAAGCACGCCGCCAGCGUUCAUC